This 74-nucleotide transfer RNA is filed under the name Phycisphaerae bacterium. Its description in RNAcentral is "tRNA-Arg". It matches the Rfam family "tRNA". Rfam says of the family: Transfer RNA (tRNA) molecules are approximately 80 nucleotides in length. Their secondary structure includes four short double-helical elements and three loops (D, anti-codon, and T loops). Lineage: Bacteria; Pseudomonadati; Planctomycetota; Phycisphaerae. The record is from RNAcentral.
GUGCCCGUAGCUCAACUGGAUAGAGCGUCGGCCUCCGAAGCCGAAGGUUGAAGGUUCGACUCCUUCCGGGCACG